GGCCUAACACAUGCAAGUCGAGCGGUAGCACAGAGAGCUUGCUCUCGGGUGACGAGCGGCGGACGGGUGAGUAAUGUCUGGGAAACUGCCUGAUGGAGGGGGAUAACUACUGGAAACGGUAGCUAAUACCGCAUAACGUCGCAAGACCAAAGUGGGGGACCUUCGGGCCUCAUGCCAUCAGAUGUGCCCAGAUGGGAUUAGCUAGUAGGUGGGGUAAUGGCUCACCUAGGCGACGAUCCCUAGCUGGUCUGAGAGGAUGACCAGCCACACUGGAACUGAGACACGGUCCAGACUCCUACGGGAGGCAGCAGUGGGGAAUAUUGCACAAUGGGCGCAAGCCUGAUGCAGCCAUGCCGCGUGUAUGAAGAAGGCCUUCGGGUUGUAAAGUACUUUCAGCGAGGAGGAAGGCAUUAAGGUUAAUAACCUUAGUGAUUGACGUUACUCGCAGAAGAAGCACCGGCUAACUCCGUGCCAGCAGCCGCGGUAAUACGGAGGGUGCAAGCGUUAAUCGGAAUUACUGGGCGUAAAGCGCACGCAGGCGGUCUGUUAAGUCAGAUGUGAAAUCCCCGGGCUCAACCUGGGAACUGCAUUUGAAACUGGCAGGCUUGAGUCUU
RNAcentral lists this ribosomal RNA (614 nucleotides) under Klebsiella ornithinolytica. Its description in RNAcentral is "bacterial SSU rRNA". It matches the Rfam family "Bacterial small subunit ribosomal RNA", at positions 45 to 650 of the family's 1533-position model. The record is from RNAcentral. Lineage: Bacteria; Pseudomonadati; Pseudomonadota; Gammaproteobacteria; Enterobacterales; Enterobacteriaceae.